Monopterus albus (swamp eel) is the source of this 487-nucleotide long non-coding RNA. RefSeq lists it as uncharacterized. The transcript is spliced from 3 exons. Lineage: Eukaryota; Metazoa; Chordata; Actinopteri; Synbranchiformes; Synbranchidae. The record is from RefSeq and is a predicted model, not a curated record.
AUAACUUAAUACAUGUUUCAGUGUAAUACCUCACAGGUGUGUGAUUCAACUAGAGUUUUUCUUAACCCUUAAUGAAUAGCCGCGUUAUUAGAUCAAGUGUUUAACUGGAGAGCUCAGAUUACGGGUUGCGGAGGUCAAAAACAAAAUACAGCAAAUAAUCGGUAACAGUUUUCGUUUCGAUAUGUACUAUGGUUUGGAAUCGUUUUACUUACAUAUUCACAUUGACAACCACAGUAACCCGUCGCUGGCAGCGUCGACAACUAGCUACCAGUGAUAAGGUUAGCCAGCACAAGGGGUUGCAUCGAUGUUACAGUCAACCAGGUGCACUCUGCCUGACGUGGUAGCUGUUCAUGGACCCUCCCUAUGAAGAAACAAGGUUACAAUGGGACAAAGUACCUCAGAUCAAGAGGUCGAAGGAGACACCACUGAGGACACACUUAAAAACAUCAAGACAUUUGUGGAGGAUGAACUACAGACAAGCAUGGUA